Brienomyrus brachyistius is the source of this 2831-nucleotide RNA transcript. RefSeq lists it as uncharacterized. The transcript has 4 exons. The record is from RefSeq and is a predicted model, not a curated record. NCBI's taxonomy places the organism in Eukaryota, Metazoa, Chordata, Actinopteri, Osteoglossiformes, Mormyridae.
CUGAGGUCAAUAUAUUCAAGAGCACAGACAUUCAAAAGCAUGUUCCGGUACAUAGAACCUACAAAGGUUGCAUUAGGAAGUGAUGAAAGUUUGACACAGAGGUUUGCUUAUUAUAUUCCAGUGAAGCAGACAUUGGCCAACUUAUUAGAAUCUGAGUUAUGGAAAAAUGCAAUAUCACAGUCUUGUGACUCAGAUACAGAUGUGCUUUGUGAUAUAAAAGAUGGAAAAAUCUGCAAGUCAAACAAGUUCUUCAAAGAAAAUCCAGGGUGUCUUAAGCUGAUUCUGUACCAGGAUGCAUUUGAAAUCGUAAAUCCUCUUGGCUCAGCAAAGAAAAAACACAAACUUGUUGCAGUCUACUUUUCUGUUGCUAACUUACCUGUUCAUGUAAGGUCCAACACUGAUCACAUGUCCCUUAUCUUACUAUGUGGUGAGAAUGAUUUAAAACACUUUGGACCUGGUAAGAUCUUUUCAGAGUUGUUACAGGAUUUAAAAGAUUUAGAAGGAAAUGGGAUCACUGUUGGUGGUGAAACAGUCAAAGGGGCUUUGUAUUGUGUUGCUGGUGACAAUUUGGGAUCACACAGUAUUGGAGGGUUUACAGAAAACUUCAGUCGAUCUCAGUACUUUUGCAGAUACUGUGAAAUUACUCGACGUGAGUUUCAUGAUGACCCAUAUGUUUGUGGUCCACAGCGCAACCCAGACAAUUACGAGGCAGCUCUUGGACACCUACAAGCAGAAGGUAUCAGAGACGUCAAAGGAAUUAAGGCCAGGAUACUACCCAGGAUAGCAACAGUUCAUUCAGCAUCCAGGAAGGUGCUUCAUCUCUUCCCUCAGUCUCACCAGGACCUUCUUCAUCCUCUCGGUCUCUCUCACCAAUAUAAACCUCUUCCAGUGCCUCUCACAGCCCAGAUGUUGACUGGGCAGAUACUUUUGACAUUCCAUGGAAGAAGUUUCCAGAAGAAUUGAUCCAGUCGUUAGAGAGAGGGAAGCGUCCAAGUCCACAGAAGAGGAGGGAGAUGGUGAGGAUUGUGGUACGGGAAAUGAUGCAGAAGUCACCAGACAUAAGUAAAAGGCACAGCACUAUUGUGGCCAAAAAAAUAGUGGCUACAUAUCCCAAAUCACUGCAGGAUGUAAUUGAAGGGGACAUAAUUGGGUCAGGGUACCAUUCCCUCGUAAAACAGCUCCACAACACCAAAAAGAAGAAAAAGAAAACUGCACGCAGAGUCUGACAUGGAUGAAAUGCCUGCUGAAAAAAGAGCUCCAAUCCAGGAGACCUAUGGUUGCAUCAAAUGGGAAAUGAAGUUCAUGCCCCUUGGGGAGACUGCAGAGAGCCAACAGCAGAGCAGAGACGAACUGAAAAGCCUGUCUAAACAAAAUGCCCCAAACCAGGAUGUGGUUAAACAGCUCACCAGGUCGACAUUCUACACCCAACGCAAAGAGGUCAACAACGGGAAAGAAAUCAAAUACUUAUUGGAAGACUGGCCAUUUUUGUUUGAUGAGAUGGCUGUUCACUUUGAAGAGCUCACUGGAGUUAGUCUGAAAGAGACAUUUGUUAGGAAUUUGGACCUAAAGGGGGAACGACUCUUAAAUUACUUGGAAACAGUUGCUGUGAACAAGUCAAAGAGGCUAGUCCAAUCUUUUACAAACAUUCAGCUGAUGAGGAGAGAGCACACAGGGCCCUCAGGCGAUGUGUUGGAGAUGGUGUUGCUCCUGUUGUCUUACUUCGACGAGAAGGAAGACGUGAUGUUCACAUACGUGGAAGACACAUGCCUGGCGGAGGAGGUGCAGAUGGACCAAGUUCCCUUGACACCAACCAUUGUUGUCUUUGGACAAUCGUGCUUCUCGGCAAAGAGAUGGAUGCUGAGUGUGGACCGAAUGAUUGUACAGCCCAGUAUCACAUCAUUCAUACCGGCCCUGUGUCUGAUGUUUGGCAGCUUCUAUGUCUUCAAUAUCCACUAUCCAGUAGUCCUCGCAUCCACGCUGGAGUUCUUACAGAGAUGUUUCUUUUCCAUCAAUCCGGAGAGGGGGACCAAGGUGGAGAAGACCAGCAAAUCCCGCCUCCAUAUGAACCCGAGAGUUAUUACACUUAUACAAGACCUGUCUGACCAUGAAUGGUGCUCACAGUAAGACUGUUCGAUGAUCCACCCUCUCUCACUCAUCUGCCCACAAACAUACAUACAUACAGACACAAACAUGCACAAAAACAUGCAUUGCACACACACACACACACAUAUACAUAUAUACACACACAUGUUCAAGCAUGCAUACACAUACACACUCUGUAGAAUAUGUACUCUCUCUCUCUCACAUAUACACAGACACACACAUAUAUAUUAAUGACCUAUAGUAUGGUUCAUCUUUGAUGAUCCUCUCAAACACAUACUCCCCUACAUGCAGUCAUAUGCACACACACACACAGAGGGAGAGAGAGACUCACUCUUACACAGGCAUAUGUACUCUCUCACACACACACACACACACGAUUCUGAUGCUCUUGUGAACCAAUGUUCUUAAGAUAAUGUUACGUUUGAUGGUUCUGAGGCAGUCUUGUGAUUACCAAAAGUUGGGCUUUGAUUCUUCAUUGUUUAUGACAAUGUCACACACACGAGACGUGUUUAUAUACACACACUUAGACAAACUCACUUUCUCUCUCAAACACAGACAUAUACUCUCACACACGAAACAUGUUUUAUUCUGAUGCUGUGUGAACAUGUUUUAUUCUAAUGCUGUGAACCAAUGUUCUUGAGAACACGUUUGACGGUUCUGUGGCAGCCUUGUGGUUAACAAAAGUUGGGCUUUGUUUUUACAAUAAAGUCUGUGUGGUUAACAGAAUA